CACACGCAUGCACAGAACACCCCGCGCUUCCCCGCCCCGAGAGGAACUCGGGAGCCGCGGGCACCCCCUGCCCCGCGCCGGCGGCGGGGGCGCGGUCGUUCUGCGCUGACACCCCCCCAAACCAUCGCCCUGCCCGUACAAAGGAAACUCCGGCCGCAUCCUGUGGCAUUAACCCCUAACUGAGCCGAUAGGUAUGGAAAUAAUCAACGGGGUGUGAAAGGAUUUUGUUCCGCGCCGAGUCUUCGGGUCUGAAAUUCAGUAGUGGGAAUGGGUUUAAGAACACCAAAGUGUGUGGUUUAAAUAGUCUUUGAGUGCACAUUUGCUAAAGGACCAGGGGACAAGAUCUAGAAAGAAUAGGUACUGCAAGAAAAAUGAGUGAAAUCAUGCUCCCACUAGCGUCAGUGGCAAAAGUCUCACUGUUCAGUGGCACUAGGUUGUCACCCUAGAAAGCUGUUUCAAACUUCACAUUUUCAAAUGAUAUGAAAUACGUUUACAGUCAGGCAGAAAGUAAUUGCCUUUUCUAGUCUGUAUUUUUUGCAGAUUUAUGCCAUAAGCCCUAUCCUGUUACAACAAAACCCACACAGAACAGUGCAACCCACGAGGAGACCUCUAUGUUGUAGAGUUUGUGUUUCUAUUUGAUCUGACAUGCUUCACGGAGAAAAUAAAUGCAAAUCCCACAUUGCACAAAGCUUAUCUGAAUAUUCAGUAAAACAUAUUUUCAAAUCAGGGCAAAAUAGACAAGUUAUUUCUUUGCAAGUUUUUCGGCUUAGUGAAUCAAGUUUUCGUGCCUUGAGACCACAGAGGGGGCAGGCAGGACAUCCAAGACUCUGCCACAAUCUCUUCUCAAUUCAUCCAGAGAGCAUCAAAUUCACGAGCAGACUGAGGCUGCCCCAGGAGGUAUUUUUUCAGCCUUCGGAAAAUGCCAGCUAUAAAAGAAAGCUGGGUUUACCAAGACGUCAACCAGCAGCCAGCACAGGACUCAGUGCCCAGGUCUCCCAAACAACGUUUCCUAAUAAGCAGCAGCUUAGAGCCUCUCUUCAGUGUCAAUUGACGUGGCUCAACUAUAUCAGCACAAAGGAUACCUUACCAGGAAUCACAUCCUUCUUUCAAAUAGAUGAACAAUCUGUUCUGUGUAAUAUGCGUACAUUUUUCAGCAAUACAAAUAUAAAAAGUGUUAAAAUAAUUACCUACCUGUAA
RNAcentral lists this long non-coding RNA (1197 nucleotides) under Manacus vitellinus (golden-collared manakin). Its description in RNAcentral is "lncRNA (ENSMVIG00005005879.1)". Lineage: Eukaryota; Metazoa; Chordata; Aves; Passeriformes; Pipridae. The record is from RNAcentral.